Molecule: ribosomal RNA, 292 nt
Filed under: uncultured bacterium
Lineage: Bacteria
Description: partial 16S ribosomal RNA
Rfam family: Bacterial small subunit ribosomal RNA
Source: RNAcentral
GUGUCAGCAGCCGCGGUAAUACGUAGGUGGCAAGCGUUGUCCGGAUUUACUGGGCGUAAAGAGCGCGCAGGCGACCAAGUCAGUCGAAUGUGAAAGCCCCCGGCUUAACUGGGGAGGGUCAUUCGAUACUGCUCGGCUCGAAGACAGGAGAGGGAAGCGAAAUUCCCGGUGUAGUGGUGAAAUGCGUAGAUAUCGGGAGGAACACCAGUGGCGAAGGCGGCUUUCUGGCCUGUUCUUGACGCCGAGGCGCGAAAGCUAGGGGAGCAAACGGGAUUAGAAACCCCAGUAGUCC